GGUGUAGUAUAUAGAGGUGAUUAAGGUGUAGUAUAUAGAGGUGAUUAAGGUGUAGUAUAUAGAGGUGAUUAUAUAGAGGUGAUUAUAUAGAGGUGAUUAUAUAGAGGUGAUUAAGGUGUAGUAUAUAGAGGUGAUUAAGGUGCAGUAUAUAGAGGUGAUUAUAUAGAGGUGAUUAAGGUGUAGUAUAUAGAGGUGAUUAAGGUGUAGUAUAUAGAGGUGAUUAAGGUGUAGUAUAGAGGUGAUUAAGGUGCAGUAUAUAGAGGUGAUUAAGGUGUAGUAUAUAGAGGUGAUUAAGGUGUAGUAUAUAGAGGUGAUUAAGGUGUAGUAUAUAGAGGUGAUUAAGGUGUAGUAUAUAGAGGUGAUUAAGGUGUAGUAUAUAGAGGUGAUUAAGGUGUAGUAUAUAGAGGUGAUUAAGGUGCAGUAUAUAGAGGUGAUUAAGGUGUAGUAUAUAGAGGUGAUUAAGGUGCAGUAUAUAGAGGUGAUUAAGGUGUAGUAUAUAGAGGUGAUUAAGGUGUAGUAUAUAGAGGUGAUUAAGGUGUAGUAUAUAGAGGUGAUUAAGGUGCAGUAUAUAGAGGUGAUUAAGGUGUAGUAUAUAGAGGUGAUUAAGGUGUAGUAUAUAGAGGUGAUUAAGGUGCAGUAUAUAGAGGUGAUUAAGGUGCAGUAUAUAGAGGUGAUUAAGGUGCAGUAUAUAGAGGUGAUUAAGGUGUAGUAUAUAGAGGUGAUUAAGGUGUAGUAUAUAGAGGUGAUUAAGGUGUAGUAUAUAGAGGUGAUUAAGGUGCAGUAUAUAGAGGUGAUUAAGGUGCAGUAUAUAGAGGUGAUUAAGGUGCAGUAUAUAGAGGUGAUUAAGGUGUAGUAUAUAGAGGUGAUUAAGGUGCAGUAAAUAGAGGUGAUUAAGGUGCAGUAUAUAGAGGUGAUUAAGGUGUAGUAUAUAGAGGUGAUUAAGGUGCAGUAUAUAGAGGUGAUUAAGGUGCAGUAUAUAGAGGUGAUUAAGGUGUAGUAUAUAGAGGUGAUUAAGGUGCAGUAUAUAGAGGUGAUUAAGGUGCAGUAUAUAGAGGUGAUUAAGGUGCAGUAUAUAGAGGUGAUUAAGGUGCAGUAUAUAGAGGUGAUUAUAUAGAGGUGAUUAAGGUGUAGUAUAUAGAGGUGAUUAAGGUGCAGUAUAUAGAGGUGAUUAAGGUGUAGUAUAUAGAGGUGAUUAUAUAGAGGUGAUUAAGGUGCAGUAUAUAGAGGUGAUUAAGGUGCAGUAUAUAGAGGUGAUUAAGGUGCAGUAUAUAGAGGUGAUUAAGGUGUAGUAUAUAGAGGUGAUUAUAUAGAGGUGAUUAAGGUGCAGUAUAUAGAGGUGAUUAAGGUGCAGUAUAUAGAGGUGAUUAAGGUGCAGUAUAUAUAUGAGAAAUGAUCGUAGAUUUAGGAUUCUUCACCUCUGAUUCUUCGGUCGUAGUCGUUGGCCAGCUCCAUUAACUCCACCUGGUGUUUCUGGGGAGAAUCAAAAGGAGACUUCUGUCACAGAGCAGCGCUGGAAGUAGUAUUCACAUCCUGUACUGCAGUUAGAGUACUAAUACCACACUGUAACAAUACUCUGGUACAAGUAAAAGUGUGUAAGUAUCAUCAGGAAAAUGUAGUUAAAGUAUUAAAAGUGAAGAACAAUCCUCCCACUGUAGAAAGUGGAAACUAUCCAAACAGUUCUUUUCUUUCUUCCCGUCUUUCUGUCUCUCUGUCUGUCUCUUUCUUU
Long non-coding RNA from Perca fluviatilis (European perch), 1726 nucleotides. RefSeq lists it as uncharacterized. The transcript is spliced from 5 exons. The record is from RefSeq and is a predicted model, not a curated record. NCBI's taxonomy places the organism in Eukaryota, Metazoa, Chordata, Actinopteri, Perciformes, Percidae.